RNAcentral lists this ribosomal RNA (253 nucleotides) under uncultured bacterium. Its description in RNAcentral is "partial 16S ribosomal RNA". It matches the Rfam family "Bacterial small subunit ribosomal RNA", at positions 524 to 776 of the family's 1533-position model. The record is from RNAcentral.
UACGUAGGGUGCAAGCGUUAAUCGGAAUUACUGGGCGUAAAGCGUGCGCAGGCGGUUUUGUAAGACAGGGGUGAAAUCCCAGGGCUUAACCUUGGAACUGCAUUUGUGACUGCAUAGCUAGAGUACGGUAGAGGGGGAUGGAAUUCCGCGUGUAGCAGUGAAAUGCGUAGAUAUGUGGAGGAAUACCGAUGGCGAAGGCAGCCCCCUGGGAUGACACUGACGCUCAUGCACGAAAGCGUGGGGAGCAAACAGG